GACGAACGCUGGCGGCGUGCUUAACACAUGCAAGUCGAACGCUGAAGCUUGGUGCUUGCACUGGGUGGAUGAGUGGCGAACGGGUGAGUAAUACGUGAGUAACCUGCCCUUGACUCUGGGAUAAGCCUGGGAAACUGGGUCUAAUACUGGAUACGACAUGUCACCGCAUGGUGGUGUGUGGAAAGGGUUUUACUGGUUUUGGUUGGGCUCAUGGCCUAUCAGCUUGUUGGUGGGGUAAUGGCUCACCAAGGCGACGGCGGGUAGCCGGCCUGAGAGAGUGAACGGCGACACUGGGACUGAGAGACGGCCCAGACUCCGACGGGAGGUAGCAGUGGGGAAUAUUGGACAAUAGGCGGAAGCCUCGUGCAGCGACGCCGCGUGAGGGAUAGCGUCGCGUGUGUUGUAAACCUCUUUCAGCACGGAAGAAGCGAAAGUGACGGUACGUGGAGAAGAAGGGCGGGCUAACUACGUA
Molecule: ribosomal RNA, 472 nt
Filed under: uncultured bacterium
Lineage: Bacteria
Description: partial 16S ribosomal RNA
Rfam family: Bacterial small subunit ribosomal RNA
Source: RNAcentral